This is a non-coding RNA of Rattus norvegicus (Norway rat), 11361 nucleotides long. The record is from RefSeq and is a predicted model, not a curated record. NCBI's taxonomy places the organism in Eukaryota, Metazoa, Chordata, Mammalia, Rodentia, Muridae.
UCCCUCUCUCUCUCUCUCUCCCCUUUUCCCUCUCUCUUUCCCCUGGCUUCUGGCUGGUGGAAGUUUCCAUCCUAUUCUUUUUUCAGACAAGCCAUUGGAUUAUCAGCAUUUAUUGACAAGCAGAGAACGAAUGGUAAGAAUUAUUUACAUAACUCUUGAACUUGAAACAGAAGAUUUUUGACCUAAGCAUUAUAAUGACUCAUUGGAUUGAAACAAGAUAUAAAGGCAGAGAAGCAGCAUUUGAAUAACAGAAGGAUAACCUUUACACAGUGCACAAAAGCAUUAUGCUUACAGGGUCCAUUAACUGAACUUCAACUUACGAUGAGAUCAUAUGGCCAAGGAAGAACCGAGCACUAUUAUCCUGUUGAAUAAAUAUAGUAAUAAACUGCCCCCUAAAUUCUUAUAUUUAUACUCAUAAAAUAGAGCAUCUCUCAACCCUCUUUUGAGAAGAUUCACGUUUUGCACUAGAAGCAAUUUCACUGUACAGAGAAUAGGUGAUGUACAAUUCUCAGCUCUAAAUGGGCCAGCUCUUUCACUAAGGUUCGAGGCCCAUUAUGAAUAAAAAGACAUAAAGAUUGUAAGAUCCAGAAGUGAAUGUCCAUGGUAAAUAGUAUUUUCUAUACAUGACAACACAUGAACUCAUAGCACCUGUGAAAACAUGCAUAAGACCUGCACAAGAUCCAGCCAGUCAAAAUUUUAGCAUGGAUCAGGAAGUUGUUCAUGAAGCCCACCAUUAUUGAAAGAGUUAUUUGUAGUGGAUUGCUCUAGGAGAGGGAUAGCGAGGGAUUUGGGCUCUGAAAGGGUACUCAUACACCACUAGGUGGUCUCACAUCCAUGUAGCCCUAUAUAUCCUUAAGAUAUUCAAUUUUCAAAAACAACAGAGAACAUAAAGCCAGAAAGGAAAAGUUGAGGAAUAGAAGAGGCACAGUAAGGGAAGAUAUGGGUAUAGACUUGUACAAAAUAUAGCUAAUAUAGUCAAUUAGUCAAUAAGAGAUGUGAAUACUUGAACUUCAUAAUGCUGAUUGGUAGAGUAAUUGCAUGGUCAUAGCUGCAAUGGAAAAGGAGAAGAUAUGAUGUGAAGAGGUCCGUACAUACUUCACUUUAAAGAAAUUUGCUACAAUGGAGGAUAAAGAAGUGAGAACUAUAGGGAAGCAAGCAAAUUGGAAGGGCCUGAUAUGUAUGAAACUCUUUGAUUAUGUUUUAAUUUAGUUUCCUAAAGCAAUUUUCCCCAAGAGACAUCAUUAUAAGCUCUAUUCAUUAUUUCUACUAGGAAAAUAUGAAAAACUGUAACCUGAACUGAAAUCUUGGAAAUCUAUGCAGAAGGCACAGCUACCACCUCUCUGAGCUAGAACUAGUUUGUCAAGAGUUCACUGGGAUUUUCCUCUCAUGAUUGAAUAAUCAAUGUGAACUUCAUGCUCCAUGCCUUAUUUUUCACUCAAUUUAAUUGGAAUCCAAUUCAUUAAAAGAGGAAUAAAAAUUCUUAGUAAUACAAAGAUCCUGGGUAAAGCAGCUGAAUAUAAUACUACAGGAUGAGUAUUUGAACACAUUCAUGCAGUGUUCACAGAGGCCAGAAGACUGGUAUGUGGGCUCUGGGAAUCUAACUAAUAACCUCUGUAAGCAUAGCAAGUUCUCCCUCCUAAUCACUGAACUCCAUUCCAUAAAAUGUCUGUUUAUUUGUUACAGUAAUAUCUUUUCUCUAUGUGUCUUAUAAAGAAAUAAGUCUUAGAUAUAUGGCCCAUCCUACUGUAGUAUGUCUUCAUCUUUAGUAACCCCAAAGACCCCCUUAAAUGAAGUAGCAUUUUGAGGUUCCACAAAAACAUGAUUUUAGGGAGAUAUUGUUUAACCCACCUGUGUCAUCAACGAAUUCUCUCCACACAGGCAAUUCUAAUAUAUACUUGUUCCAGAAAUUAAUGGAUUACUGGAAUAACAGAAUGAAGAAAAGACUUAUGAGAUCAUGCUUGACAGUGACUUCAUUCUCGGUUCCUUCAUCAAAGGCUUUCAGAGGCAUGUAACUUUGAAACUAACAUCUUUAAGUCUAAAAUUUCAAAACAGUGAAGUGCAAGGGCUUGAAAACAAAAUAAUUAUUAUGAAUGUUAUUAGGCUUUUGAACAACAUGUACAAUGCCCCACUAUGAAGAAAAUAUAGUCAUCCAAUCAGCUAAAAAGAGGUUAAUGUGCUGAAAGCAUGGAUAACCGACUGGAAAUGAGAGGCCUCAGCCACUGAAGCAUGUACACUAUUCUAUCAGAAAUGACACUAACUCUGCUUGUGUUUCAGACAAUUCUAUGAACUUCUUUGUGGCCACAAGUGUUCAAGCUCUACAUUCCAAGGAUAGACUAGGCAGAAUUCACUGCUGACUCCUAACAAAUAUUUAGAAGAACUAAUAACUGUUUUCUCUCUCUCUCUCUCUCUCUCUCUCUCUCUCUCUCUCUCUCUCUCAACUAGAAGAAACUAGAAGAAACUAUAUUCAAUAAAAUUUUACAAGGCAACCAUUGCUCUUACACCAAAACCAGACAAAGGUGCAGCCAACAAAAAGCAGAAUAAAAAAGAGAAGAAAUGUGCAGGAUCAUAGGACAAUAUCCUUAAACAGGAAAUAAACAUGUUGUUUUGAAUAUGUUGUUCAAAAGCCUAAUAACAUUCAUAAUAAGUAUUUUGUUUUCAAGCCCCGGCACUUCACUGUUUUGAAAUUUUAGACUUAAACAUGUUAGUUUACUAGUCAGCUAAACCCAAAAUCAUCUGGGUUCAUCCUAAGUUUGCGAGGAUGAUCUAAUGUAUGAAAAUCAAUGAACAUGAUGAUAAUGAUGUCAAACAGCUGACAAUAUAUCCACCAGUGCAAAAUGCACAUUCCAUAAAAAUCAAUUUCUCCAAAAUAUAAACUGAACAAUAAGCUGGCCAUGGUGUUGCAUGCCUUUAAUCCCAGCACUUAGGAGACAGAGGAAGAUAAAUCUCUGUAAGUUCAAAGCCAGCCUAGUCUACAAAGGAAGUUCCAAGACAGUCAGAGCUGUUACAUGGAGAAAUCCUGUCUCAAUAAACCAACUAAUCUACCAGCCAACCAACCAACCAACCCAUCCAACUAACCAACCAACCCAACUAACCAACCCAACCAACAACCAACCCCCCCACCCACCAACCAACCAACCAACUUGAAGUGUCAAAGCACCCAGUGAACACAUCUCACCAUAAUUUAUUAUAAACUAUAAUUAUAAAUUAUAAUUAUAAAUUAUAAUUAUAAACUAAUAACUACAUAGUAUACAAUGAGGAGAACCUGAAAGCUCUAUUGAUAAGAAUCAAGAAUCGUGACAGGACAAAAGUGCUUAUUCCCACAUCUAUUCAGCAGAGUUCUGGGAGUUCUAUCCAGAUAAAUUAGGUAAGAGAAAUAAAUAAAUGCAUCCAAACAAAAAAUCAAGGUCAACCUGUCACUGUGUGAAAAAUGUAAUUUUGUGUGAGGAAACUCACAAAAGUGUACCAAGAAAAAAAUGUUAUAACUAACACAUUAUUUCACUAAAUAAAUAAAUUCAUCUGUUUUAAGAUGUAAAAUCAACACACAAUAUAAGGAAUAUUGCUUUAUACCAAUACAAUAAUCUAAAAACAUAGGAAACAGGAGAUGCAUUCCAUUUUUGUAGCUAUCAUUUUAGCUAUGCAUUUACAGCUUAAAAUGAUUUUAAGUUCCAAGGAUAAAGUGACUAAGAAGAUAAAAUAUCUCUACAAUAAAAUACUGAAAAGUGAACAACUAGGAAAAGACUUCUGAAGUACAUAUCAAAUGAGACCAAGAUGAAACUCUGAAUCAUCAAAACCAUCUUGAGUUAAAAAGAACAGUGCAGGACACAUUGCAAACUUCUCUUCAAAACAUAGUAUAAAUGUGUCAUUAAGCAGCAAGACAUUGGUAUAAAAGAAGAAAUCUACAUCAGAAUAUAUAUAGCCUAGAAUCCUGUAUAUAGUGAAUGAACACAUGUGUAGAUACCUGCCUUUUUUGUUUGGUUUUAUAGACAUGGCCCUGGCUGACCAGACUAGGCUGGUUUUAAACUCAGAGAUCUGCCUACUUCUGCCUAACCAGGCGGCUGAGCAUAAAGGCAUGUGUCACCACAGCCCAACUGACAACUGAUUUUUGACAACAAUGUCAAGAACAUGGGUUGGAUGAAAGAGAAUCAUUUCAUCAUUUCAGUUAAGGUUUCUGGGAAAAUUGUUCAUGCAUAUCCAAUGAAGGAAAGUAGACACCUAUUCUCAUCACACACAAAGCUCAAGUCUAAAUAGAUUAAUGAUUUAAAUUUUAGACUUAUACUAUGAAGUUAUAGAAGAAAAUACAGGAAAAAAUUUUUAGACAUUGGCAUGGACAAGAAUGUUCCUAUCAGGACUUGACAACUUGAGAAACCAAACCAAACAUAGACAGGUGGAAUCACAUUAAACUGAAAAUCUUUCAGGCAGCAAAGAACAGUCAGGGCAGAGUAUAAAACCAACAGGCAGAAUGAGAGAGAACAUUUUAAACGCAUUUAUCUGGCAGGACGUUGAUAUUUAGAACAUAUAAGGAAGCCAAGAACUGAUUAAUCAGAAAGCAAAUACCCCAACUAAACAAUGGGCAUCAGACUCAAACAAGCAUUUUCUAAAAGAAGAUAUAUUUAGGCAACAGUCGCCCCCAAAUGGCUGACAUUACUAACCACCAGAGAACUGUAAACCAAAACCACAAUGUUUAACCACAUCACUCCAUUCAUUAUCAUUGACUAAUACUAAAAUAUUAGUAGACUAAAGAUAGGACGUGCCGGUGAGAAUGUGGAGAUAGGGGACUGUUUGAACAUCCUGUUUAUAUUUCAUGGGAAUGUAUGUCACUAAAGCCAUUAUGGAAAGUAAUACUGAGUUCCAUAAAUGUUUAAACUAGUAUGACUCGUGUGCCUAAGCAAAUUCACUAGGGGGUUUAUUAUUCCCCCACUUCCAAAAUGAGCCAGUGCGUUAGAGACAUUUGCACUUCUAUCUUUCCUUCAGUAAAGAGCCAAGAAAAUAGAAACCACCCAAGUAUCUGUCAUGUAGGAACUGAGUGAUAUAGAAUGUCCUAGUUAACCACACCUCACUUCUAACACUGUGGAUGGACCAGGAAAUCAUUGUGCUAAGUUAAUAAAAGUCAAGUGGGAAAAAGCAGUUGUACAUGAUCUCAUUUGAGUGCAGAGUUUGAACGUGACAUGAUAGAAGCUGAUAAUAGGAUGGUUACUAGAAGCCAGAGACCAGUUAGUGCUGUGGCUCUAAUGUCAACAUUUUACUAUGAUCUCAUGCUUGAGCACUUUGCUCCUAAGUGAUAGUUGUUAUGGAAGGCUGUAGUAUCUUUAGGAGGUGGCACCCAGCUAGAGAAAGUAGGUCACUGGUAGGAGAGCCUUGAGAUUAUCAGCUCAGCCUCAAUACCUGCGUAUUUUCUGCUUAACCCUAUGACAUCUCUGCCAUUAUUGCAUCCAUCGGCAUAUCUUGAUAAUUUGAUUAUUAUCCCAGCUCAGAGGUUCACUGUGGGUAAUAUUACUGCUGACUCCUCCAUUCCCCGGCAAUCUGCAUGGAACCUUCCUGUAUUUUGAGAGCUAGCCAAAAUGGAGAAAGCUGUUGGAUUAGUACAGACUUUUUAAUCUCUGUGUCCUGUGACCAGGUGUGUGGUCUUCAGUCACUGGGUCUAACUACCAAGUUCUCAAAAGGAAAGCAAUGGCUAAAACCUGUAUUGUUAGGGGGAAACAAUCAAGUUUAUCUCAGCUGUGAACAAAGAUCAAAGAUAAAACAUACACAAUGAAAGAUAUUAUGUCUCCUUUCCUCAGUGCUUAAGGACAGCUGAUUUUACUCAGCUCUCUAUUAAUUUGACACAAACUAUCCAUAAAAAUAAACAUUGUCUUUAAAAUUGUUUUAAUAACAGAGCAGAGCAUGUAUAAUGCUUUAAAACAUUGGCCCAUGGGUUUAGCAGGGUUAUUUUAAUGCUUGUUUGUUUGUGCUGUAAACGUGGUUACAUCAUUUCUACAUCACUUCUAUUUGGCUGUUGAGUUUAGAAUUUUGGGGGCUGAGAAAGCUAGAAAUGUAAAUAUUUCAUUUCUAGGUAAAAAGUUCUUAAUAUUGAAUUAAUUUAUUUUAAGUUAUUCACUGUAAUUGAUAUCUAAAAAUCUAUUACAAUUAUAUAAUAAUGUGUUGUUUAAAUAAGGUAGUAUAAUGAAUGGCCAUCUUGAAGUAUAAUUUAAAAUCUGUUUCUUUGCUGUCCUACUAAAUAAGUGUUUUCAUUAAUUCCUUUCAAAUUGCACAAACCUUUCACAGCUGUCUGAGCUGGCAACUGUCAUUUCUGCCUUUAGCAUAUUCAGUUGGAAAUAACUUCUUGUAUAAGAUUGGCUUCAAACCUUGGCUUAAAGUGAUCUUUCAGAAUUGCUUAGGGUUUCUGGCCAUUUUCCUUUGUAGGAAAGUGGUGUUGUUAAUAAGUAACCGCCAUCUCAGACCACUGCCCAGGACAUCAAACAAGUUAAAAAUCAGCUCCGGUAGCACAUAGCACAUGUAAUGUAGUCUUUGUGUUACCCUUUCAGGCCUGUUCCUUUUGGCACUUCAUGUGACAAGCUUUAUGGCUACCUGACUUGGUAUUCUUUCCAAUUAUUAAUUCUCUCUGUUAAACUCCACUAGGUGGUGAAUGUAAAACGAGUGUUGAUUCUCUCCAGUCUUUUCAUUUUCUCAACAAUAAAAUAUUAGUUUUCAUUAAGAUUGUAUCACAUAUUCCAUGCUUCAGUAUGUGAAGCCCACAUUUCCUACUUCCGUCCUCACAGGACGUGUGAUCCCCUCCAGCAGGUUUGCUUCCUUAUGUUCACAGGUGCUUCCUCCUCCUUGCCUUGCAGUGCGUGAGUGAAGGUUGAUGGUGUCCCCUGGCUGGGGGCGUUGUUCUGGAAGUCUGGUUGUGCAGAUUCCUCAGGCCACUCUCUUCUCAACCGGAAGACUUUUUAUAUUAUGGCAAAUAGUCUAAGUAGGAAAAAAAACAUUCUUAGCUACAUUUUAUGGAGUUGAUUUUCUUAGUUUAUUUCUAUUCUCUCUUGUUUUUGUAUUGCUGGGGUGUCUUUUUCCUCCAGGUGAAAUAUGGAAACGUGUCUUCUGGUUACAGGCUUCAGUGGUGGAAUGUAAAUCAUAAAGGGACUUGCUAGUCCUCAGUCUGUAUCUUACUGGCUGUUGUGUAGUUAGCUUUGGACACCACAAUAUCCUGGGAUGCCAGCAUUCUACUUUUCACUUGGGUUUCACCCAUUAUUUUUGGUUCACACCUCCACUACUGAGGGAGCACAGGAUGGGACUGGAGAGAUGGCUCAGUGGGUGAAAUGUUUGCCUGGAUGAGGACGUGAGUUCCAACCAUGUUGGAACCCACAGAAGGCUGACCACAGUAGUGCAUGUAUGUAUUUCAGUGCUCCUAAGGGAACGUGGGAGGCAAAACAAGAAAAUUCCCUGAAACACAUGAGCCAGCUUGCAUAGCUUAUGGAAGCCAAUAGCAAAAGAGAAAGAGAGAAAGCAAGAGAGAGAGAGAGAGAGAGAGAGAGAGAGAGAGAGAGAGAGAGAGAGAGAGAUCCUUUCUACACUAUGAGGACCAACAUCUGAGACUCUCCUGUGGCAUGAAAUGUUCACUGUGACAUUUGUGUGCCCCACAUAUGUACAUAUACAUGUAGUAGUAAAUAUUAAAGAAGAAAUCUAUCAUCCCAUGCUAUUGCCAGCUCUGGCAGGCCACAUGGCAUCUGUGGGGUAUUUUCAUUUAAUUCAGCAAAGCAUUCAACUACUAAGCUCCCAAUCUCCAUCCCAUGCUGCCAUAUCUGAGCCCGGCAGCCGCCAUAUCUAGCCCCACAUUGCUGCUGGCUACUCUCUGGCCCCAGCAGCAGCGACCUGCUUGUGACUCUCUGCUGUGAAUUCUGCUCACAUGCCCAGCAUCUGCCCCCUGUGGUUAUAGUCACAACUCCCAGUAACCUAUUAAAAUCAAAACUCAAUAAGCUUGUAAUUUACCAAUCAGACUUAUAUCUUAAAUUCUCAUUCCACAAAACAUCCACACAAUAAACUCACAACCAAUUGAUAAUGUUAUAAACUGCCACCUAGAUAAGACAAAUUGUCCUAUAAAAAUCCACGUCUUAUGAAAUAUUCAUAACUACUCAUGGCCCUUUAAGGCCACACAGAAUUACGUCAUCCUUCUCCUCCUCCGUCUUGGUUCUUCUUCUCCCUUCUCAUCUCUCCCUCCUCUCUCCAAAACUCUGUGCCUGCCUUACUUUUUCACUGUCCAGUCACAGGCCUCGUCUUAUCUCACCUGCAUAUAGACAUCAACUGCAUAUACACAUCACAUACAAACACAUAUAUACAUAAUUUAAAAAAGGAUCAUGUCAAAGGUAAACUUCAUUAAAACCUGCCAAAUUCUUGUCAGAUUUGACAAACUAACACAAGAAACCAUUGUCCAUUGUGUGAAGGAUUUAUCUUGGCUCUCCACCAACUCUCCGUGUAUAGGUGUUUUUGUGCUAGAGUGGCUCUGUUGAAUACAUAUUACUGAGAUUGCAGAGAAGGCAAAGCCUGAAGUAUUUAUUACCUAGAACUUAAAAAGAGGUGGUUGAUCCCUAAUCUGUAUAAUAUGUUUGAAGAUUGUCUUUAUCUUAGGUGCCCAGUGAUACAGCGAUCCUGAUACUGUACUGCAGUGCUCUCCUACAAAUAAAUGCCACUGGAAAGUUGAAGCUUGAGGGUGUAGUGUUAAUGAAAGACUUAGUGGUAUAACCAAGUCACUCAAUCCUUCAAUCAUUUCACAUACUAUUCCACUCACGAGUAAUCAGUAAACAUAACUUUUCUCCAAAAAAAAGCUUCGUGUUAAAAUACAUAUGUAUCUGGGCUGGGAUAUCUAAGUAAAAUGCUUGCUAAGCAAAGAUGAAGUCCUGAGCUUGGAUGCCAAUCAAGGAAAUUAGUUGGAGGAAGAGGAAGAGGAGGAGAAGGAAGAAGAAGAGGAGAAGGCAGAGGAGAAGAAGAAGGGGAAGGAGGAAGAGGAGGAAGAGAAGGCAGAGGAGAAGGGGAAGGAGGAAGAGGAGGAGGAAAAGGGGAAGGAGGAAGAGGAGGAGGAGAGGAAGAGAAAGAGGAGGAAGAAGAAACAGAAGAAGAAGAACAAAUGAAGUCUAUAUCUGUUGCCCAUUACCUCAGAAGCACAUUUAUUCUAAUGUCUACGAUUUAUUGGCCAGUGAGCCUAGUUGGAUUAGAGAACCUCUCUUUCAAUGAGAUACUCUAUAUCAAAAAAUAAGGUGGAGGAGGAUCCAAGAGAGCAUUGCAAUAUUGAUCUCUGGCCUUUACACAUAUACGCACACACAUACACAAACACGUACAAAAAUACAUAACAUACACACACAUAAUUCCUGUUGAUAAGUAUUUAAGAUGUUAGAGGUAAAUGUUUCAGUGUUUGAAACUAAGCAAAAUUAAGGUUCAUUUUAGAUAUGUUCAUUGCCUGAUGUUUAACCAGUCUUCAUAUAUCCACUCAUUUUCUACCUUUCUGGUGAUGUUCUAGUAAAAUCUUACUGUUUUUAUUUUCCUAUCUCCACAUAAUCCUUUGUUACUUUAAAACAUUUCAAUUUCCUGUUGCCUUUAUUGUAUUUGUUUUCAGGUCAGGAUUUCUUGUCUGCAUGGGGAAAAGAAAAAUCUCCAUCUAACAAGGCUAUAGCACUUGCCCCUGGAAUUCUAAUUUCUUCCCUAACCUUGUUAUUGUUUUCAUCUCAAAGCAAAGCAGAUAAACAAUAAGUAAAUAAAUAAGUUGUCACCCCACCCACCCACCCCCAAUUUAAGUUUCAUUGUUUCCAGUUUCGAAAAUAAAGGAGCUUGAGAGAUCCUGACAUCGAGGUUUGUUCCCUAAGUGAAACCAGGAUUUGCUGCAUUUGCAUUCAUCUUGCAAAACAGACUGCUGUGUUGCACUUGGGUAAGCUAUUUAAACGCCCGGAUCCAACCAAGUGUAUCUAUUGUUCUAGUUGAUUAAUACAAUCUUAACGAAAUCAGGGACUUUUGAGCAAGUCCCUAAAUAUAAAACCUAUUAUUUAGAAAAGAAUGACCUAUUUGCUUUUUGUUUUCUCGUAGCAUAAAGACUAAAAAGCCAGAACAGGGUGAAUGCCCUUAUCCCACACGUUAUAUGAAGGCUGCAGUCACGUUCCAGCAGAACCUGUACCUCAGGGGAUGCACCUCAGCCAUUUCUAAUCUUUUCUGAUGAAUGCUGCUACAGUUCAAGUUUCAGAAUCAAUUGGGGAAAAAUUUGAAGUGGGGCUUCUCGUGAAGAAGUGGCAGGUCUGUUCUAGACAGGCAGGCAGUAAAUCAGAGUUUUCACAUUUCAUUGCCUGGAACUGACUCAAACUGUCAGAAUGUGGCCAGGCUUAAAUCAUGCAGUUAAGGAGGAGGGUGGGCAGCCUGAGUUUCGAUGUCUGAUACUGGUAAGUUAUGCAAAGAUCAGGCUCCUUGGAAAAUAACCAGCCUAGAAAAGUCGGUAUUAGGAAGCAUGGGAUGGCAAGUACACAGGUUAUGGUAUUAAAAUAGAGUCAAAUAGCUGUUAACUUGUAUAAAUAAUAAUAAUAGAUUGAGUUUCAUUUAAUCUAUAAUUUGGUUUAAAAAGAUGCUUGCUGUAUAGUUGCCAAGGAUUAAAUUUAUAUCAAGCAAUAGUAAUUAGACUCUGUAAAUACAAAUCAUUUGAAUGCCCGUUGUUCCUAAUGGACAUUUUCUCUUUCUCUUCUUCUCUUCUGAUGAAGACCAUGUGAGUUGAAGAGUGAAAGACCUGGAAAGCUGGUGAUUCCACUGAGAAGUGUCUCCAUGCUCCUGCCACAUCCCGUCUUUAGAAAGAGCAGUAAAUGAAACACAAAGGACUUCUAGAUGUUUAAAGGGUCAGAUAUUUGAAGGACUCUUUUUCUUUCUGACCUGAAAAAGAAGGAAGUUGCUCUUAACCCUUUAGCCACAUUGGUGGUAGCGCUGGGUGUGGGGUCAUGUAAACACUCACCGAGCCUCUCAGGUCUCCUGCAGGACUUGAAGGAACUAGACAAUGAGUGCAGAAUUCCAAUGCACUUGAGAAAAGGUUGAGGGCUAGAAAGGGGGCUGUGCAUGUCAGUAAAAUAAAAGGAACCAGGGAUGAAGAAUCAGACAUAACAGCUACCUACCUAUGUGAAGUUCUAAGUCAGACAGGUUGUAUAGGAGAUCUCCAGAAACAUAACAGUUAUCCUGACAUUAAAAGUAAUUAAAACUCUAUUGUAGAGUCCAGCGACUUCUAUUUGAGAAGUCCAGUGGUGACAGAAAUAGUGGUGACAGAAUGUUCAUUGUCAUUACAGAGGGGCAUCUCUUAUUCAUUCUCGCAUAUUUCAGAUUACCAGUAAAUCAUGUGGUUGGUUUGCAAUAUAUAGAACAAAUUUAAAUUGU